AAGCACCGGCUAACUACGUGCCAGCAGCCGCGGUAAUACGUAGGGUGCAAGCGUUGUCCGGAAUUAUUGGGCGUAAAGAGCUCGUAGGCGGUUUGUCGCGUCUGCUGUGAAAAUCCAAGGCUCAACCUUGGACCUGCAGUGGGUACGGGCAGACUAGAGUGCGGUAGGGGAGAUGGGAAUUCCUGGUGUAGCGGUGGAAUGCGCAGAUAUCAGGAGGAACACCAAUGGCGAAGGCACAUCUCUGGGCCGUAACUGACGCUGAGGAGCGAAAGCGUGGGGAGCGAACAGGAUUAGAUACCCUGGUAGUCCACGCCGUAAACGGUGGGUGCUAGUUGUGGGCCACAUUCCACGUGGUCCGUGACGAAGUUAACACAUUAAGCACCCCGCCUGGGGAGUACGGUCGCAAGACUAAAACUCAAAGGAAUUGACGGA
RNAcentral lists this ribosomal RNA (432 nucleotides) under uncultured bacterium. RNAcentral describes it as "bacterial SSU rRNA". It matches the Rfam family "Bacterial small subunit ribosomal RNA", at positions 488 to 917 of the family's 1533-position model. The record is from RNAcentral.